UUUUAUGGAGAGUUUGAUCCUGGCUCAGAGUGAACGCUGGCGGCGUGCCUAAUACAUGCAAGUCGAACGAUGAAGCUUCUAGCUUGCUAGAAGUGGAUUAGUGGCGCACGGGUGAGUAAGGUAUAGUUAAUCUGCCCUACACAAGAGGACAACAGUUGGAAACGACUGCUAAUACUCUAUACUCCUGCUUAACACAAGUUGAGUAGGGAAAGUUUUUCGGUGUAGGAUGAGACUAUAUAGUAUCAGCUAGUUGGUAAGGUAAUGGCUUACCAAGGCUAUGACG
RNAcentral lists this ribosomal RNA (283 nucleotides) under Campylobacter jejuni. Its description in RNAcentral is "partial 16S ribosomal RNA". It matches the Rfam family "Bacterial small subunit ribosomal RNA", at positions 1 to 281 of the family's 1533-position model. Lineage: Bacteria; Pseudomonadati; Campylobacterota; Epsilonproteobacteria; Campylobacterales; Campylobacteraceae. The record is from RNAcentral.